UCAUAACCUUGGGUAUUGGCUUCAUUUUUGUUCAUACUUAUAACCCUUAUAUAUUCCUCUUUAGAGAACUUUUGUCUUUCCAAUAACACAUUUAUGUCUUCGGCCAUUUUGAGCAAUAAAAUACAUCACUACCAAGGAUCUUGACGUACUCUAGAGGCCAAAACUAUAACAAAUCCAAGAAAAUGACAAAACCACCUAAGAAAAGAGAAAAACCAAAAAAAAAUGGCAAGAUAACCAUAACACAACCAAAACUAAAAAAAAAAAAAACAAUGACUAUAAAUCAAUCACAAGAGACUAAAUGACAGGGCGAGAAAAUGCACCUAAAAACAACAAAAAGAUCUAAACAAAGAAAACCUACUGAGUUUGACUAAAAAUACAAAAGAUAACCUCUUUAAAAAUAACCCAUAAAGUACAAAAAGAAGGAUAAAAAAAUGAUCAAAAGACCAAAAAGGAAAACUACUAUCUAUAUUAAGGAGAAGAAAUAACACGAUAAAG
RNAcentral lists this long non-coding RNA (495 nucleotides) under Gossypium raimondii (Peruvian cotton). RNAcentral's name for it is "long non-coding RNA (GRAI_LNC006290)". The record is from RNAcentral. Lineage: Eukaryota; Viridiplantae; Streptophyta; Magnoliopsida; Malvales; Malvaceae.